Molecule: ribosomal RNA, 429 nt
Filed under: Bacteroidota bacterium
Lineage: Bacteria; Pseudomonadati; Bacteroidota
Description: Bacteroidetes bacterium partial 16S ribosomal RNA
Rfam family: Bacterial small subunit ribosomal RNA
Source: RNAcentral
UAGGGAAUCUUCGGCAAUGGGGGGAACCCUGACCGAGCAACGCCGCGUGAGUGAAGAAGGUUUUCGGAUCGUAAAGCUCUGUUGUUAAGGAAGAACGAGUGUGAGAAUGGAAAGUUCAUACUGUGACGGUACUUAACCAGAAAGGGACGGCUAACUACGUGCCAGCAGCCGCGGUAAUACGUAGGUCCCGAGCGUUGUCCGGAUUUAUUGGGCGUAAAGCGAGCGCAGGCGGUUAGAUAAGUCUGAAGUUAAAGGCAGUGGCUCAACCAUUGUAGGCUUUGGAAACUGUUUAACUUGAGUGCAGAAGGGGGGAGUGGAAUUCCAUGUGUGGCGGUGAAAUGCGUAGAUAUAUGGAGGAACACCGGUGGCGAAAGCGGCUCUCUGGUCUGUAACUGACGCUGAGGCUCGAAAGCGUGGGGAGCGAACAGG